This 253-nucleotide ribosomal RNA is filed under the name uncultured bacterium. RNAcentral's name for it is "partial 16S ribosomal RNA". It matches the Rfam family "Bacterial small subunit ribosomal RNA", at positions 524 to 776 of the family's 1533-position model. The record is from RNAcentral.
UACAGAGGUCUCAAGCGUUGUUCGGAUUCAUUGGGCGUAAAGGGUGCGUAGGUGGCGCGGUAAGUCGGGUGUGAAAUUUCGGAGCUUAACUCCGAAACUGCAUUCGAUACUGCCGAGCUUGAGGACUGGAGAGGAGACUGGAAUUUACGGUGUAGCAGUGAAAUGCGUAGAUAUCGUAAGGAAGACCAGUGGCGAAGGCGGGUCUCUGGACAGUUCCUGACGCUGAGGCACGAAGGCCAGGGGAGCAAACGGG